This 253-nucleotide ribosomal RNA is filed under the name uncultured bacterium. Its description in RNAcentral is "partial 16S ribosomal RNA". It matches the Rfam family "Bacterial small subunit ribosomal RNA", at positions 524 to 776 of the family's 1533-position model. The record is from RNAcentral.
GACGAACUGUCCUAACGUUGUUCGGAAUCACUGGGCUUAAAGGGCGCGUAGGCGGUCCGACAAGUCAGGGGUGAAAUCCUGCAGCUUAACUGCAGAAGUGCCUUUGAUACUGUCGGUCUUGAGGGAGAUAGGGGUGUGCGGAACUCACAGUGGAGCGGUGAAAUGCGUUGAUAUUGUGAGGAACGCCGGAGGCGAAAGCGGCGCACUGGAUCUCUUCUGACGCUGAUGCGCGAAAGCCAGGGGAGCAAACGGG